This 352-nucleotide unclassified non-coding RNA is filed under the name soil metagenome. RNAcentral's name for it is "partial contains 5.8S ribosomal RNA, internal transcribed spacer 2, and large subunit ribosomal RNA". The stretch from base 1 to 120 matches the Rfam family "5.8S ribosomal RNA", at positions 35 to 154 of the family's 154-position model. The record is from RNAcentral.
GAUGAAGAACGUAGCGAAAUGCGAUAAGUAAUGUGAAUUGCAGAAUUCAGUGAAUCAUCGAAUCUUUGAACGCACAUUGCGCCCGCCAGUAUUCUGGCGGGCAUGCCUGUUCGAGCGUCAUUACAACCCUCAGGCCCCCGGGCCUGGCGUUGGGGAUCGGCGGAGCCCCCCGUGGGCACACGCCGUCCCCCAAAUGCAGUGGCGGUCCCGCCGCAGCUUCCAUCGCGUAGUAGCUAACACCUCGCGACUGGAGAGCGGCGCGGCCACGCCGUAAAACACCCAACUCUUCUGAAGUUGACCUCGAAUCAGGUAGGAAUACCCGCUGAACUUAAGCAUAUCAAUAAACGGAGGA